Molecule: long non-coding RNA, 710 nt
Organism: Ictalurus furcatus (blue catfish)
Lineage: Eukaryota; Metazoa; Chordata; Actinopteri; Siluriformes; Ictaluridae
Exons: 3
Source: RefSeq, a predicted model, not a curated record
AGUGUUAUCGAUCGUUUUGUUUGAGAAACUUUGAAUUCAAUUAAAAAGAGACAGACAACUGAGUAGAAAUGCUCAUGAACAGGAAUACAGAUCAGGAAGUGGAUCAUGUCUCAGUGAGAGGGCGCCCUCUGUCGGAUCACAUGGCUCAUAGCUCUAAACUCUCCAGGAUAACCUAUACUACCGUACUAAAUAGUAUGUCUCCUGAAUAGCACGCCGUCACUACUUAGUAGGGUAGUAUACGAGGACGAAGACAAACCUUUGACAGCUGUGGAAGGUGCUGUGGAAAAAGUCCCCUCAGGCGAAUAAGUUCCGACAGAAGAGGACGUGUCGCGUGACUCCACAAAACAGGGUUGAAAGAGGUGCUUUCACUGAACGGGACACGAGAAAUGUAGCACAGUGGAAGUGCCAAGGAAAUCGGACCCGACGAAGCUUUCGAACGUGACUUCCAGACUGUCCUUUAGCCCGGCGCAAGAAUCUCCCAGCAACUUCAGUCGGAGGAGGGCCUGCAUGUCCAAAUUCCUCCUUGUCAGUCUUUGGAGUCUUUGAUCCACUAGGGGGCAGCACCACCAUUUUGCAGCCAUUCAGCACACUGAGCUCUGGUGACCCGUGCCGACUUCCUCUCUCACCGACUCUCUCCUCCGUCUGGUCGCCUUCAGGCCCUGCUGGAGCCACGGGCAUCCUUCACCCUGAGCGGGGAGCAGGAAGAGGGA